RNAcentral lists this transfer RNA (64 nucleotides) under bovine gut metagenome. It matches the Rfam family "tRNA", at positions 5 to 66 of the family's 71-position model. Rfam says of the family: Transfer RNA (tRNA) molecules are approximately 80 nucleotides in length. Their secondary structure includes four short double-helical elements and three loops (D, anti-codon, and T loops). The record is from RNAcentral.
GGUAUAGUUCAGCGGUAGAGCACCGGAUUGUGGAUCCGGUUGUCGUGGGUUCGAACCCCACUAC